AACGCACAUUGCGCCCCCUGGUAUUCCGGGGGGCAUGCCUGUUCGAGCGUCAUUACAACCCUCAAGCUCUGCUUGGUAUUGGGCGUCGCCGGUCCCCCGGCGUGCCUCAAACCCAUCGGCGGUGGUGCCUUUCUCUAAGCGUGGUAAAUUUUAUUCGCUUCUGAGUUGGGGCUUCACCCGCCGGAUAAACCGGGCAUCGCGCCCAUUUUCUCAGGUUGACCUCGGAUCAGGUAGGGAUACCCGCUGAACUUAA
Molecule: unclassified non-coding RNA, 253 nt
Filed under: uncultured Coniosporium
Lineage: Eukaryota; Fungi; Ascomycota
Description: sequence contains ITS2
Rfam family: 5.8S ribosomal RNA (bases 1-52)
Source: RNAcentral